AUGAAAUUGAGUGGACCUAGCACCGAGCAAUCGGAUGGCCGCUUUCAUCUCAUUUUACCCACACUGUGCUCUCAGAAGAUUUUUCAUCAAAACCAAACAUGUUUUUUUGAAAUAUUUUUCUAUACACGCUUAAACGUAGAAAAUGUAUUGUGAUGUUUUAGAAACAUUAAAUUGUAUAAGAAAGAA
Molecule: unclassified non-coding RNA, 186 nt
Filed under: uncultured fungus
Lineage: Eukaryota; Fungi
Description: sequence contains ITS1, 5.8S rRNA gene
Source: RNAcentral